GUUUAAAUGCCAGUGUUUUCACUGCUGGGAGAAUCAAUACACUGGACAAGGCUGGAAAUCAGCAGGACCCAGCACCGGCCGGAGGAGGAGGCUGGAAUUUAUUCAGAAGAAAUGCCAUGGUGCAUGAAGCUCUGCCCGUGUUCAUCCAGAUCCACUGGUGGAUCUCCCUGUCAAAGCCUAACUUUGGAGAAAAAUCCUUUGGGAUGAAAGGCACUGAAUUAUAUCAUCAUUAUGUAUCUGCUCCUGAAAUUAAAAUCAGGUGCUCCAGCGCUUUGGAGAAUUUUCUAUAUUGGCCUUUGAAGAAUCAUCUCCAGGACAAAUCCUUCUCCAGCUGAAAUCUAGGAUUUAACACACGGAUGCUGCCCUUUGCUGGAGGAAGAAAUGUCUAGGAAAUGGACCUUGAAGCAAUAAGUAAAUGCAGCAGUUUCUCCUGGUGUGCAGCUGCUGAAGCAGUGAAAGACAGAGAAAUAUGAAGGACAGGCUGCUGUAACAUAUGAGCUCUGUCAACAAAAGAAAUGUCAUGUCAGCCUUGGAUGAACACCCUCAAAUCAGCAGCGGACACUGGAUUGACUCAGCUGGUGUCAGGAUGUCCUAUUAGGAGAUGGAUGACUUCAGAGGGAGAAUUUCUCAAUCCAUUUAUAUGAAGAAUUUGCCUCUAAAUUCAAAAGGAGGUUCUCAGCAGAAUUGCUUUAAAAUUUAUAACCCAGCAUCUGUAUCUCUUUUGUUUCCCUGGCUCGGAGGAGGCAGGAAGGUGAAAUAUUCCCUGAGUGUGUCUGGAGCUCGCUGUCCUGGGCAGACCCUCCACAUGCCUGCUGUGGGACCCAUCCCUCCUCCUGUCCCUGUCCCUGUCCCUGUCCCUGUCCCUGUCCCUGUCCCUGUCCCUUCCUCUGGUGCAGCCAAUCCAACCCAGGGCUGAUCAGAAUUCACCUCAUGGAUUUGGGCUCCACACUGCUCUGCCCAGAGCCUUUGGGAGAUGCCAAUCUUUUCUCCACCGUGGUUUUUCUGCCCUGAAAGCUGCAGUCAGGAGAAAAUAAUUUGCACUGGCAGACUGGGAGGGAGGAUGGGGAAGUGCCACCUCUCUCUGACCCCUUGGAUUUUCAAUGUGCUCUUUAUUUUUUCCCAGGCCACCAGGUUGGUUUUCCACUCUUCCACUGGUGAAAUUCAGCAGCAAUAAAGGAAACAGGCUGAGUUCAUUUAAACACCUAUCCCUAGGCACAGGUGGCAUUCUUCCAUCCUUAUUUCCAUCUCUUGGGAGCUGGGCUUGAAGAAUCCUGGAGAAUAGGUGAGCUGUGUGCAGGCUCGUUCCUGCCUGGUGCUCCCAGCAUCUCCCACCCGCACAGGAGAGGCCCCAGCGAGUCCUGAGGGCUCCUCUGAACCCAGGGAGACCUUGCUGGGUGUCCUUGGGUGGCUGCACUCCCUGAUUAUUCCUUUCCAUGGGAUAAUUGGUGCUCCCUGGGCCCAGGGAAGGUCCUUCAGCAGCUGAACACAGCUCAGAGUGCUGGGGAGGAGGGGAGGCGAGAGGCACACCUGGGCUUUUGACCUUCCCAGGGAAUAUUCCAAGUGCUUGUGAGUGGAAGCACUCCACAGGGCAGCUCUUGUCCCUCAGAGCUCCUUUCCCAGCAGGCAAGCCCAGACCAUUUAUUCCUGUUCCCUUUUUACCAGCUGCAGCCUCAGCACAGCCUGUGUGGCAUCAGCUGGCCCCGGUCUUGUGGUCAGUCAGAGCACUCCAUUCUCCUGACUUUCUUUUUUGAUAAAUCACACAGUCUGAACCGAGCUGGACUUCCAUGGCCUUGGGCAGCCUCUGGUGUGGGUGAAUUUCCAGCAAAUGCUGCCCACUGCCAUUCCUGAGGGCUUUGUUUUCUGUCCUUACCAAAGCCUGGUGUCUCUGACCUGUGUGGUUUCUUUUCAUCCAGGGAUGGCUUUAAAAGAGCUGCCCAAAAUCCCCCUCAGCAUCAGCAACGCUUUAUGAGUUUGUCAGGCGUUCUCCUUCUCAAAGGCUGCUUAAGAUUUCAGUUUAACCGGUUUUAAGUCAGAUUUAGAAGUCAUGAACACAGCUCACCCAUCUGCAUAAUCUCCAGAUCGGUAUUCCUGUGAUGGAACCUGAAAACUCCUGCUGUCAGGGCUGAUGGCUGUCCCCUGAGUGAAGGGAGCUGUGAGGAAUCCAUGGACCACUGCCCUUAUCAUCAGUGGCAUCCCAGCAAAAACAGAGGGAAGUGCUGGCGGGACAUGGAUGAUCACCUGUGUGAUGUGAGACCAGGGACCUCCAUCAAUUCAUGGCUGUGGCAGGAGCUGCACAGAGCUCAAGGCACCUCCUACAGCUCCUUCCUGUCCGUGCUGUUAACAGCUGGCUGCAAACUUGGAGCUUUUUGUUUCAUUUUCAGGGGAAAAAAUUAAAUGCUUGUA
Taeniopygia guttata (zebra finch) is the source of this 2403-nucleotide long non-coding RNA. NCBI's taxonomy places the organism in Eukaryota, Metazoa, Chordata, Aves, Passeriformes, Estrildidae. The record is from Ensembl.